GUAAUGGCUGGAGCUAAGAUAUCAGCAUAUAUUUUUAAUACCCAAUUUGGAAGUUUGUCUGGACCAUUUGCUCUGGAUAUACUUAUUUUGCGUAACUUCUGCUGAACAGAUGUUAGGCUAACUUGUAUAGGGUCAUCUUCCUCUUGGGUUACAUGGGCAUCGUCUGUUAAAGGGGUAUAAUCUUUUGUGACACUAAUAAAGGCU
Molecule: non-coding RNA, 204 nt
Organism: Paramuricea clavata
Lineage: Eukaryota; Metazoa; Cnidaria; Anthozoa; Malacalcyonacea; Plexauridae
Source: the annotation of a GenBank genome assembly